UUCUCCAGGUUAAACACCCUCAUCUCCUUCAGCUGCUCCUCAUAUGAUUUGUGCUCCAGAACCUUAAUAAGCUCCACUGUCUUUCUCUGGACUCACCCACUUGACUCCAGCACUUCAAUGUCUUCUAGUGAGGGGCUGAAAACUGAAUGCAGGAUUUGAUGUGUGGCCUCAUCAGUACAGGGAGACAAUCACUGCCCUGGUCCAGCUGCCACACUAUGUCUGAUACAGGCCAGGAUGCCAUUGGCCUUCUUGUUCAGGAGCUGUGGACUAGCAGCUCCAGCUCUUUUUUCUGCCAGGCAGCAUUCCAGUCACUCUUCCCUGACCCUGUGACAUUGCCUGGGAUUGUUGUGACCCAAGUGCAGGACUUGGCACUUGGCCUUGUUAUCCCUCAUACAAGCAGCCUUGGCCCAUAAGUCCGGCCUGUCCAGAUCCUUCUGCACAGCCUUCCUGUCCUCCAGCAGACCAACACUCCAACCCAGCUUGGUGUCAUCGGUGAACUUACUGAGGGAGCACUUGUUCCCCUUAUCCAGGUCAUCAAUAGUUACUGAGCCCCAGUACUGAGCUCCAGGAAAUACCACUGGCACGUGACAGCCAGCUGAAUUUGACUCCAUCUGCCACCAGCCAUCCAGCCAGUUUUUCACCCAAAGAACAGAGCACCUGUCCAAGACAUGAGCAGCCAGUUUCUCCAGGAGAAUUCUGUGGGAGACAGUGUCAAAGGCUUUAGCAAACUUAAGGCAGACAACAUCCACAGUCUUCCCCUCAUCCACUAAAUGGGUCGCUUUGUCAUAGAGGCAGAUCAGGUUGGUCCAGCAGGACCUGCCUUUGCCAAACCCAUGUUUGUGCUGGCUUGGCCUGAUCCCCUGGCUGGCCUGUACCUGCUGCAUGACAGCACUCAAGAUGAUCUGCUCCAUCACCUUCCCCAGCACUGAGGUGAGGCUGACAGGCCUCUAGUUACCCAGAUCCUCCUUCCAGACCUUCCUGUAGAUGGACAAUGUAUUUGCUGACUUCCAAACACCUGGGAUCUGCCUGUUAGCCAGGACUGCUGAUAAAUGAGGGAGACUGUCUCAGUCAGCAUUUCCACCAGCUCCCUAAGUAUCCAUGUAUGGAUCCCAUCUGGUCCCAUAGGCUCGCAUGUGUGUAAGUGGUUGUCCUAGGUUACAAUGUAAAGAUGUAUUCUAUUCCCAUCCUCAAGAGCUAUCAAAACCAGGAGGUUCAUUGUUUUUCCUCAUCUCCUGUUAAUGGGCCUGUCAAUGCCUUGCCACAUGACACAGAGAUAACUCCCUCUGAGAGCCAUUUCUGUUUAAUGGGCAAUCAAGGACCCACCAAAUGGCUCAGAAUGAUACCAGCCCACUGUGAGAUACUCCGCCCAGGGUGGGGAGCUAAACAUCCCCACCUGGAUAUAAUCUGGGCUUUGGGACAGAGCAGGUAGCCCUUACCCACUGGGUUCUAAAGGACAAGAGCUACCAGAAUUUUUGUCUAUGGGAUCACCACUUCAACAAGACCAUUUCAUCUGGACUGCUACCACCACCCUAACUAGCAGGGCGCCAGGUUGUCUUCUGACUCUCGUCACAGCCAAACCACUCUGUUCAAUCAGGCCAGUUUUCUUGCCUGCCAGCUUGUCUUUUGGCAUAUGGGGAUGAGCUCUCUGGUGCCUUAAGAUUUCUUUCUUGAAGAAUGUCCAGCCUUCCUGGACUCCAUAGCCCUUCAGGACUGCCUCCCAAGGGACUCCCUCAACCAUCUCCUAAAGAGGCCAAAGUCUGCACUCCAGAAGUCCGAGCAGCAGUUCUGCUGGCCUCCCUCCUUACUUCUCCAGGAAGGUACAAUUAAUUAAUUUGUUGUCGCCUGCAAACUGACUGAGGGUGGCUUCCUUUGCUUUGCUCCAGAUGGCCUCCAAUGGUUACAUCACCCUCGAGUCCUUCUCUGUUCAUGAACUUCAGGUCCAACAGGGCACCUUCCCCAGUUGGGACCUUCACAUGCUAUGUCAGAAUGUUAUGAACUCCCACACACUCAAGGAACCUCCUGGACCGUUUCCUCUCUGCUGUGUUGUAAUUCCAGGAGAUGUCUGCUGCCACAUGGAUCUCCAUCCCCUACCUCCACUGAGAUGGCAAACCAAAGGACAUCUCUGGAGCAUCUAGUGCACAGUCCCUCAAACAUCAGUGUGCCACCCUAGGCUUAUCUCUAGAGAGCCUGGUUUUAUUCCUUUAUAAGGGCUAAGCCUGUGGGAGAUAGUCACUUGCCCAAAUGGGAUCAGGUACCUGUGGUGUUACUCAAGUAUUAACUGCCUAUUAGUCACCUGUUAACAGAAAGGUCAAACCAGAACUGCAUGACCAGCCAGCACUCAGAGAAAUAAAGAGGGUGUGAGCCAAACAACACAAUUUGCAAAACUCUUCUGCUCUUUGAACACACGCAUGGAGAGAAACACUGCUCCUCAGUUCCCAUGCAUCUCUGGGGAAGGAUUCUGCAAGCACACACCAAACCUCAUAGCCCUGCAAAGCAAUGCCUCAGGGAAAGAGUCCUAAUUCAGCUUACUAUAAUGUAAUAGUUUAUUGUCACAAUUCAGAUCACAACAUUUAGAUUUGUGGCUCUCAGUAAUGUCUGCAACAGGUGCAAAACUGAACUGGGAGCAGGUAACAAAGAGAUCUCUAGGUGCACAU
This is a long non-coding RNA of Passer domesticus (house sparrow), 2654 nucleotides long. RefSeq lists it as uncharacterized. NCBI's taxonomy places the organism in Eukaryota, Metazoa, Chordata, Aves, Passeriformes, Passeridae. The record is from RefSeq and is a predicted model, not a curated record. The transcript is spliced from 3 exons.